This 165-nucleotide ribosomal RNA is filed under the name uncultured bacterium. Its description in RNAcentral is "partial 16S rRNA". It matches the Rfam family "Bacterial small subunit ribosomal RNA", at positions 355 to 511 of the family's 1533-position model. The record is from RNAcentral.
UAGGGAAUCUUCCACAAUGGGCGCAAGCCUGAUGGAGCAACACCGCGUGAGUGAAGAAGGGUUUCGGCUCGUAAAGACUCUGUUGUUAGAGAAGAACGUGCGUGAGAGCAACUGUUCACGCAGUGACGGUAUCUAACCAGAAAGUCACGGCUAACUACGUGCCAC